UGGUGGAGUGAUUUGUCUGGUUAAUUCCGUUAACGAACGAGACCUCGACCUGCUAAAUAGUUUGCCAUAUGUAAAUAUGAGUAUGACUUCUUAGAGGGACUAUCGGUGUGUAGCCGACGUAAGUUCGAGGCAAUAACA
This 138-nucleotide ribosomal RNA is filed under the name uncultured eukaryote. RNAcentral describes it as "partial 18S ribosomal RNA". It matches the Rfam family "Eukaryotic small subunit ribosomal RNA", at positions 1299 to 1458 of the family's 1831-position model. The record is from RNAcentral.